AUUGAACGCUGGCGGCAUGCCUUACACAUGCAAGUCGAACGGCAGCACGGGAGCAAUCCUGGUGGCGAGUGGCGAACGGGUGAGUAAUAUAUCGGAACGUGCCCGGUCGUGGGGGAUAACGUAGCGAAAGCUACGCUAAUACCGCAUACGAUCUACGGAUGAAAGCGGGGGAUCGCAAGACCUCGCGCGAUUGGAGCGGCCGAUAUCAGAUUAGGUAGUUGGUGGGGUAAAGGCUCACCAAGCCAACGAUCUGUAGCUGGUCUGAGAGGACGACCAGCCACACUGGAACUGAGACACGGUCCAGACUCCGUACGGGAGGCAGCAGGUAGGGGUAAUUUUGGACAAGUGGACGACGAAGU
Molecule: ribosomal RNA, 359 nt
Filed under: uncultured bacterium
Lineage: Bacteria
Description: bacterial SSU rRNA
Rfam family: Bacterial small subunit ribosomal RNA
Source: RNAcentral